CUGAGAAAGCUCUUCCUUGCCUCUUAGUUCUCGAAAGGCCUUUGAGACGCUGGCGAGGGUCCAGCAUUGGGAGUACUGAAAUCUCCGCGAGGAAGGCGCCGCGGUGUUUCCGAGCAGCCCGGGGCUGGGGGGUGUCGGUGGGGAACGUGGGCUGGGAGGAGCUCCUGGGACAGCCUCGCCGCCCCUCGGGAACCACCUCUCCCCUGCGCCGGCCGCCUUAGGGUUUUCCCUUCCUCACGGGAGCCUGGCCUUCGGUCCCCUGUAAGGCAGCUGCCACUACCAUGAGCCAACCUUGCUGCUUUUGGUUUGUGCUUACCUGCCAUAUGCUGUUAUGGGCAGAGUGCUUUAGAAAUCUCGUUCAACCCUGCCAGGUUCUCUUUCUCCCUUCAGGGUCAAGCUCAUCUUUGGGGCCCUACUUAGCAAUGAGAACGGAGGCCUUGCGUUCCUGUCCGUCAGUGGUAGCUGUGGCAUCUCCUGUUUGGAUCUCCCCACGCUCCUAGCACCUCAGUCCUUUCUUCGGCCUGCCU
RNAcentral lists this long non-coding RNA (527 nucleotides) under Felis catus (domestic cat). RNAcentral describes it as "lncRNA (ENSFCAG00000043683.2)". The record is from RNAcentral. Lineage: Eukaryota; Metazoa; Chordata; Mammalia; Carnivora; Felidae.